This 254-nucleotide ribosomal RNA is filed under the name uncultured bacterium. RNAcentral's name for it is "partial 16S ribosomal RNA". It matches the Rfam family "Bacterial small subunit ribosomal RNA", at positions 524 to 776 of the family's 1533-position model. The record is from RNAcentral.
UACGUAGGGGGCAAGCGUUGUCCGGAUUUAUUGGGCGUAAAGAGCUCGUAGGCGGCUCAGUAAGUCGGGUGUGAAAACUCCAGGCUCAACCUGGAGACGCCACCUGAUACUGCUGUGGCUAGAGUCCGGUAGGGGAGCAUGGAAUUCCUGGUGUAGCGGUGAAAUGCGCAGAUAUCAGGAGGAACACCGGUGGCGAAGGCGGGUCUCUGGGCCGAUACUGACGCUGAGGAGCGAAAGCGUGGGGAGCGAACAGG